This 193-nucleotide ribosomal RNA is filed under the name uncultured bacterium. Its description in RNAcentral is "partial 16S ribosomal RNA". It matches the Rfam family "Bacterial small subunit ribosomal RNA", at positions 1309 to 1500 of the family's 1533-position model. The record is from RNAcentral.
AACCCGACUCCAUGAAGCUGGAUUCGCUAGUAAUCGCGCAUCAGCCACGGCGCGGUGAAUACGUUCCCGGGUCUUGUACACACCGCCCGUCACACCAUGGGAGCCGGAAAUGCCCGAAGUCAGUGGCCCAACCGCAAGGAGGGAGCUGCCGAAGGUGGAGCUGGUGACUGGGGUGAAGUCGUAACAAGGUAUC